This 497-nucleotide ribosomal RNA is filed under the name uncultured bacterium. RNAcentral describes it as "partial 16S ribosomal RNA". It matches the Rfam family "Bacterial small subunit ribosomal RNA", at positions 28 to 507 of the family's 1533-position model. The record is from RNAcentral.
GAUGAACGCUGGCGGCGUGCCUAACACAUGCAAGUCGAGCGAACGGACGAUAAGCUUGCGUUUCUGAUGGUAGCGGCGGACGGGCGAGUAACACGUGGAUAACCUACCUAUAAGACUGGGAGAACUUCGGGAAACCGGAGCUAAUACCGGAGAAUAUUUUGAACCGCAUGGUGCAAAAGUGAAAGACGGUCUUGCUGUCACUUAGAGAUGGAUCCGCGCUGCAUUAGCUAGUUGGUAAGGUAACGGCUUACCAAGGCAACGAUGCAUAGCCGACCUGAGAGGAUGAUCGGCCACACUGGAACUGAGACACGGUCCAGACUCCUACGGGAGGCAGCAGUAGGGAAUAUUGGGCAAUGGGCGCAAGCCUGAUCCAGCCAUGCCGCGUGAGUGAUGAAGGCCUUCGGGUCGUAAAGCCCUUUUGUUAGGGAAGAAAAUCUGCGUAUGUAUACGUCGCUAUCCUGACGGUACCCAAUCAGAAAGCACCGGCUAACUUCGUG